This is a long non-coding RNA of Lolium perenne, 896 nucleotides long. RefSeq lists it as uncharacterized. The record is from RefSeq and is a predicted model, not a curated record. NCBI's taxonomy places the organism in Eukaryota, Viridiplantae, Streptophyta, Magnoliopsida, Poales, Poaceae.
AUCGACAUGGUCACAAAUAUCUUGGGCUUCGACGUGUAUCAUGAUCUCUCCCUUAGCCAUGAAGAUAAUGACUCAUCCUGAAGGUUAAUUUAAUCAGAUUUGCAUGUGCCGUCUCUUUCACAGGUUUUAGAGCAAUGUUCUCGUGGAGAAAUUUAUCAGUCACACUACUGCAAGAGCAGCUGCAUCUGCAGGAACCAUAAGCUGGCAUGCACUCUCAGGGUUCUACUGAAAAUUGAUCACGACAACCAUGACCAUGAAGAUAUACCUCCAGGAAUUUCAUUGACCUGGGCUUUAGUCUGUGAUGUGGAAACACACUAUAUUGCUUUGCAACGUAGCAAGAUCUCUUUCCUAAUGCAGUCCUCCCCCAUGGUCCAGCGCCGGUUCCAACAAGAGGGUUGCAACCCUGCCCUUCCGGCGUUUGGGGAGGAUCGAGGGUCGCCCCUCCGCCCUCUCGGACUCCUCCAGACUGCUGUGACGACGUGGACUGCAACGAGCCCUGGUCUGGACGCCCGCGCGCAUGCCAUUUUCCCCAUGUGUAUGCAUGUAUGCUGCAUCCAAGGUCGAUAAGGAGUCAUGAGCUCCCUGCUGUCGUUUGGUUUCUGAGGUAUCAUGAAUGCAAGCAACUCAGCCUCUACGCAUCUUUAGAACUGCAUUCCCGAGGCAGGCGAGAUGCUGGCUGAAGGGGCUUCGAAGGCUUGAAGCUUUAAUCUUAAGGGAGGAGGGUCCGGUGGUGAUGGGGGAAUGCUUCUCUGCUUGGACAAGAUAUUUACAUGUCCUUUAACGUGUAUGAUAUAUGUAUAAUACUAUAUAAAUAUGAAUAUUUUGAAUAGAGUGUUGAAGUCUAAGCACAAUGUUGUAGUUCCAUUCAUUCUAUUUAUGUGAGGUCACUUUUCCUA